RNAcentral lists this non-coding RNA (429 nucleotides) under Trypanosoma cruzi strain CL Brener. Its description in RNAcentral is "Eukaryotic large subunit ribosomal RNA". The stretch from base 64 to 427 matches the Rfam family "Eukaryotic large subunit ribosomal RNA", at positions 3007 to 3399 of the family's 3401-position model. The record is from Rfam by way of RNAcentral. Lineage: Eukaryota; Euglenozoa; Kinetoplastea; Trypanosomatida; Trypanosomatidae.
AUAUAUAUAUAAUAUAUAUAUAUAUAUAUUCUCUAUUGUGUGAGAUUGUGAAGGGAUCUCGCAGGUAUCGUGAGGGAAGUAUGGGGUAGUACGAGAGGAACUCCCAUGCCGUGCCUCUGGUUUCUGGAGUUUGUCGAACGGCAAGUGCUCCGACGCUAUCGCACGGUGGUUCUCGGCUGAACGCCUCUAAGCCAGAAGCCAGUCCCAAGACCAGAUGCCCACUCAACAACAAAACGCGUGUAUGUAUUUUGUUGUGUUGUGUUGUUGUGCUUGCUUGAGUGUGUGUCAGUUAUAUAUAUAAUAAUAUAUAUAUAUAUAAUAUGUGCAGCUGUCUUUUUUGGGAAGAGUAGAGAAUAGAGGUUAGAAUAAAUAUAUAUAUGUGUAUAUAUAUACAUAUAUAUAUGUUAUUGUAUACUUCAGCGCGGCGGG